RNAcentral lists this ribosomal RNA (253 nucleotides) under uncultured bacterium. RNAcentral describes it as "partial 16S ribosomal RNA". It matches the Rfam family "Bacterial small subunit ribosomal RNA", at positions 524 to 776 of the family's 1533-position model. The record is from RNAcentral.
UACGUAGGGUGCAAGCGUUAUCCGGAAUUAUUGGGCGUAAAGAGCUCGUAGGCGGUUUGUCGCGUCUGCUGUGAAAACUGGGGGCUCAACCCCCAGCCUGCAGUGGGUACGGGCAGACUAGAGUGCGGUAGGGGAGAUUGGAAUUCCUGGUGUAGCGGUGAAAUGCGCAGAUAUCAGGAGGAACACCGGUGGCGAAGGCGGGUCUCUGGGCCGAAACUGACGCUGAGGAGCGAAAGCGUGGGGAGCGAACAGG